This 421-nucleotide ribosomal RNA is filed under the name uncultured prokaryote. RNAcentral's name for it is "bacterial SSU rRNA". It matches the Rfam family "Bacterial small subunit ribosomal RNA", at positions 338 to 774 of the family's 1533-position model. The record is from RNAcentral.
CCUACGGGGGCAGCAGUGGGGAAUAUUGGGCAAUGGGCGCAAGCCUGACCCAGCAACGCCGCGUGAGGGAAGAAGGCUUUCGGGUUGCAAACCUCUGUCCUUGGUGACGAAAAAAAUGACGGUAGCCAAGGAGGAAGCCCCGGCUAACUACGUGCCAGCAGCCGCGGUAAUACGUAGGGGGCGAGCGUUGUCCGGAAUUACUGGGCGUAAAGGGUGCGUAGGUGGCCUUUUAAGUUGGAUGUGAAAUACCCGGGCUUAACCUGGGGGGUGCAUCUAAUACUGGGAGGCUAGAGUGCAGGAGAGGAAAGCGGAAUUCCUAGUGUAGCGGUGAAAUGCGUAGAUAUUAGGAGGAACACCAGUGGCGAAGGCGGCUUUCUGGACUGUAACUGACACUGAGGCACGAAAGCGUGGGGAGCAAACA